Triticum aestivum (bread wheat) is the source of this 2466-nucleotide RNA transcript. It is a transcript of the gene named aspartate--tRNA ligase, chloroplastic/mitochondrial, with no coding region annotated. Lineage: Eukaryota; Viridiplantae; Streptophyta; Magnoliopsida; Poales; Poaceae. The record is from RefSeq and is a predicted model, not a curated record. The transcript is spliced from 15 exons.
ACCCAUCAUCGUCGUCUCUAAUCCCAAACCCUCUCUCCUCUUCCUCAGCUCCCUUCCCGGGUCGCCUCCAAUGGCGUCCUCCCUCCUCCGCGCCUCGCCGCUCUCCCUCCUCUCCCGCCUGAGGCCGCUCAGCCGCAGGCCUCCCGCCUCGCACCUCCGCUGCCUCCUCCUGCUCUCCGGCUCCGCCUCGGCCCCCUCACGCUCCACGCCCACGCCCCGAACCCUAGCGGCCGCCACCGAUGCGGCGACCCCGCCGGAGGAGGCGGCGGCGCCCCCCGCGGCCGAGGCGAGGCUGGAGAGGAUGCAGCCUCUGCAGUGGCCCCAGCGGGACGCGCUCUGCGGCGAGCUCGGGGCGGGCGACGCGGGGCGCCGGGUCCGGCUCUGCGGCUGGGUCGCCCUCCGCCGCUCCCACGCCGGCCUCACCUUCCUCACCCUCCGCGACUCCUCCGGCAUGGUCCAGGUGACGACUCUGCCAGAAUACCCUGAAGUUUACGCUGUUGUGAACAAGCUGAGAGUGGAAUCAGUGGUUUCUGUUGAGGGGGUGGUGCGCCCGCGCCCAACAGAAUCCAUCAAUGCAGAUAUGAGGACUGGGGCUAUAGAGGUUGCUGCAGAUCAUGUAUCAGUGCUCAACUCGGUAACUCGUUCCCUACCUUUUCCAAUCACCACUGCUGAUACAGUGAAAGAAAAAUUUCCGGAAGAAGUCAGAUUGAGAUUUAGGGUGCUGGACUUGCGUCGACCACAAAUGCAGUCAAACUUGAGAUUACGUCAUAAAGUUAUUAAACACAUUCGUCGUUACUUGGAGGAUAGGCAUGAUUUUGUUGAGAUUGAGACUCCAAUUUUAUCCAAGUCUACACCAGAAGGCGCUCGGGACUAUCUUGUACCUUCAAGAGUUCAGCCAGGAACAUGCUUCGCUCUUCCUCAAAGCCCUCAGCUGUUCAAGCAAAUGUUGAUGGCCUCUGGCUUCGAAAAAUAUUUUCAGAUUGCAAGAUGCUUCCGGGAUGAAGAUCUGCGUGCAGACAGGCAACCAGAAUUUACACAACUUGACAUGGAGAUUGCCUUUACAUCAAUGGAGGAUAUGUUGAGCUUGAAUGAAGAAUUGAUGAUACAUAUAUUUAAAGAGGUAGGAGAUAUCAAGCUGCCUAAGUGUUUUCCAAGGCUCACCUACAACGAGGCGAUGAACCGUUAUGGGACAGACAGGCCUGACCUUCGGUUCGAUUGGGAGCUAAAAGAUGCUAGUGAUGUAUUUUUGGGCAGUAGCUUCAAGGUUUUUGCAGAUACAUUAGAAAAUGGUGGUGUAAUAAAGGCAUUAUGUGUGCCUGGUGGUGCCAAAGUUUUUUCAAACACCGACCUAAAGAAGGGAACUGUUUAUGCUGAGGCUUCCAAAGCUGGAGCUAAGGGCCUGCCUUUCCUCAAAGUUAUGGACAAUGGGGAGCUUGAAGGAGUUGGUCCGUUGGUGUCAAGUCUAAAACCCGAAAAGAAAGAACACCUGUUGGAACUUUUAGAUGCAAAAGCAGGUGAUCUUAUCCUGUUUGCCUUGGGCGAGCAGUCAACAGCUAAUCAAAUUCUUGGCAGGUUAAGAUUGUUUAUUGCUCAUAAGCUGGACGUGAUAGAUACAUCAGCACAUUCAAUUCUUUGGGUGACAGAUUUUCCAAUGUUUGAAUGGAAUAGUGACGAGCAGCGAUAUGAGGCUCUACACCAUCCUUUCACUGCACCAAAUCCUGAAGAUAUGAAUGAUCUACCAUCAGCUCGUGCCUUGGCUUAUGAUAUGAUUUACAAUGGGGUGGAGGUACUCCUUGUUUCUCUUUUGAAAUCGGAGGAGGCAGUUUGAGGAUCUACAAAAGUGAUGUGCAACAAAGGAUUUUUGAGAUCAUCGGUAUCUCACCUGAACAGGCAGAGGAAAAAUUUGGCUACCUUUUGGAGUGUUUUGACAUGGGUGCUCCCCCACAUGGGGGCAUUGCCUAUGGGUUGGAUCGUUUGGUGAUGCUUUUGGCCCGCGAAAGUUCAAUCCGGGAUGUGAUAGCUUUCCCAAAGACCACGACUGCUCAAUGUUCGCUCACCAAAGCACCGUCCCCUGUGGAACCUCAGCAAUUGAAGGAUCUGGGCCUGCGUACUUCGUGAGGACGCCGUGCAUGGAUAAGGGGUGCAUUAUUUAGGAACAGAUACAUUAUACACAUGGGACUCAAACUGCCCCUGCACAUUCUCUUUUUGCACUGUAGAGGAGAAAUUUUUUGACUGUAAAAUGACUGGUCGGCGUUCAGACGUCGCCAAAUCUUCCAGCAUGGACGCAAUGCGGAUUAUUUAUUUUCUUCAAAGUUGUGGCUGCCAACGUGCAACCGUAUUACUAUUGACUUGAAUGAACUAGGCGGCCUGGCUUUUGUAACACCACAUUGGAAGUAUUUGUGUGUAUACCAGGUUGAAUUCCUGGCUGCCAGCAUUGGAAGUAUUGGAGUAGCUUUGUUUGUUGCA